GGGCCUAUAGCUCAGCUGGUUAGAGCUCACGCCUGAUAAGCGUGAGGUCGAUGGUUCGAGUCCAUUUAGGCCCA
This 74-nucleotide transfer RNA is filed under the name Enterococcus faecalis TX1467. RNAcentral's name for it is "tRNA-Ile". It matches the Rfam family "tRNA". Rfam says of the family: Transfer RNA (tRNA) molecules are approximately 80 nucleotides in length. The record is from RNAcentral. Lineage: Bacteria; Bacillati; Bacillota; Bacilli; Lactobacillales; Enterococcaceae.